GUGGAUUAUGGCUCAGCGGUAGAGCGCUUGCCUUGCACAUGAGCAGUGCUGAGUUCAAGCCUCAGCACCACA
This 72-nucleotide transfer RNA is filed under the name Marmota monax (woodchuck). RNAcentral describes it as "tRNA.Ala". Lineage: Eukaryota; Metazoa; Chordata; Mammalia; Rodentia; Sciuridae. The record is from RNAcentral.